CAGUCGCCGCGGGAAUACGAAGGGGGCUAGCGUUGUUCGGAUUUACUGGGCGUAAAGGGUGCGUAGGCGGACUGAUAAGUCAGGGGUGAAAUCCCAAGGCUCAACCUUGGAACUGCCUUUGAUACUGUUAGUCUUGAGUUCGAGAGAGGUGAGUGGAACUGCGAGUGUAGAGGUGAAAUUCGUAGAUAUUCGCAAGAACACCAGUGGCGAAGGCGGCUCACUGGCUCGAAACUGACGCUGAGGCACGAAAGCGUGGGGAGCAAACAGGAUUAGAUACCCCCGUAGUCCCUGUCUCUUAUAC
RNAcentral lists this ribosomal RNA (301 nucleotides) under uncultured bacterium. RNAcentral describes it as "partial 16S ribosomal RNA". It matches the Rfam family "Bacterial small subunit ribosomal RNA", at positions 509 to 807 of the family's 1533-position model. The record is from RNAcentral.